Long non-coding RNA from Mus musculus (house mouse), 2578 nucleotides. RefSeq annotates it as predicted gene, 33082. The transcript is spliced from 3 exons. Lineage: Eukaryota; Metazoa; Chordata; Mammalia; Rodentia; Muridae. The record is from RefSeq and is marked validated.
AUCAUGCAUGUAUAGAAUUAUGCAUCUGACCCAUGGUGUAGGAAGGAAACUGACAGGGAAAAAGGUGGAAAAUGAAGAGUUCCAAGUGAGGGCCCAUCCAUGGAAGAAGCCUACAAGGUCAGGUCAUUGCGAAUAAUGGUGAGGAACAUACAUGUACAGACAAUGAUUGUUGCUGUAAAACUAAGGUAAAGGUGGAAAUUGGUGUGUUGCAUGACUUCUUUCCAGUUGUGGUUUGAAGGAACACUCCAGAUGCUUCUGACAGGACGGCACUGCAAUUGGGGACUCUACUGCACUCGUUAGUCAUGUGGAGGACCUGUGUCUUCAUGGAUGUGUCCCUAAAGAAAGACAACAGAAGAGCUGCACAUGCAGUCUGAUCCAGCAUUGCCCCUCUGGUGGGAAUUACCAGCUGUUGCCAUGGUAUACUUGGGGAGAGCCACUAGGGAAGAUGGACUUCAAGCUAAGACACUCUCAUGUAAACUGAUGAAAGUAACCAGGUCUGUGCUGAUCACACCCUUCUUGAGACUCUCUUCAAUACACAGUUUAAGUGUUCGGCAUCACCCUUCCCUUGAAAGCUCUGGAAUGCAGAUGGCGCUCACAGCUACACGGAGAGAAAACAAAUGGACUUUUAGAACUUGAGACAGAAUCUGAAUCCACGCCAUUUCCCUCUUUCCAUGAGUUUGGUGCCUCCAAUGGUGUAAUUUGAACAUCCACUCCGGACCCUAUGAAAAAGACAAGCUUGCUCCUGGAUGCCUGCUCAUCCUGCUCUGUCACUGUGGCUGCCUCAGCCUUCAGAAGUAUUCAGAGGAUGCUGCAGUCUCCAAUACAAGUUUACCUCAAACAUAAGGAGCAUCAAAGAUCUUGAGAUCUUUCUCACCAGUUUACAUUCCUUGACAGCUCCGGCGCAGAUAAAAUGAAGCCCUUUCUAUAGCAGGUCUGUGCUGAAUUCGGACUUGCUAAUUCCUUUUCAAAGUAACCUCACUAAACCUGUGUGAUCCAGGAAAAUCAAGACUCCCUCCCUCCCCCACUUGGGAUUCCUAGUCUCAUUAAUAAAAGAAUUUAAGAACAGGCUCAAAUGGAAGCACGGGGACAGUCUUACUACAGUGUUAAAGGAAAACCGCAGGGCAGGCAAACAGUAAAACAGCAGCAGCUGCCAGAAGGCAGUGAACGGGGAGAGAAGGAAGAAGGCCAGGCCAUUUAAGUUGGCAUGGAAAGCAGACACAUAGUGGACAGGCAGCCACAUGGCAGGCAGGAGAGCUUUAAAGAAAGGGUAAGAAAGCCCAAAGUUUUGGCGUUGGAGAAACCCAAAGUGAUGAGAAAGGCAUGCUUAAAAACAUUCAGAAAGAAAAUACAGAAAAGUCACAUUCUUCUGGAUAACUCAGAAAAAAAAAAAAGCAAAUUUAUGACCCAAGAUGGUUCACUCUAUUGGCUUCUGCAUUAUGUACAGCAGUUCUGAGACAGUAAGGUAUAAUACCUCAUCAAACAACUAGUUAGUCCUAGUUAGUUAUUCUGCCUGCAUCUUUAGCAUGGCUUAAGUUGAGCCCAACUUCCUAGGGGUGGCCUAUUAGCCAAAGUGACUAACCUAGCCAUACUGGAAUGGUGGGUCUCUACCCAGACCAAAGAUUUUACUUAAUGGCCCUUUACUGGUGCUCUAACACCAAGACCCAUGGGGGGGAAAAAAACAGGCAUGGUCACACCUAUAGGCACGGUGCACAGAUAUGCACACCUAUAACUCCAGGGUUACAGGAGACACGGGGAUAUAUGGAAAUUCAUCUAACCACCCAGCUAUGCACCAACAACAGACCAAAGUAUGAUUUCACCACAGUCCAACUUGUUAACACAAAUGAGUUUAUUGAGGUUACCAGCAAAGCACAAGUGAGCGGUUACUUAUAGGGGUGUUAGAGAUGCAUCAUUGCAAAGUCCCACCCCAUCAUGAAUGACAACCUCACAGAAACUGCAUCAUAGAGUCCUGCUUUUAAUCAACCUUUUACUUCUUUCUAUAGUCUAUCAUCUCCCAAGAUCCCUUGCAGCUGGGCAGUGAAAUAAUAGCUGUAACGUCGGAGGAGGGUCUCCUCACUUUCCCUACAUUUGGCUGCCACUGUGUUGACUUGCUCCAUCUAGUACCCAUCACCAUGGGGCAAAGUCAAAGAUGGCAUCUUGUUUUGACCAAGGGAAAAGCACCCUACAAUAGCAUCAUAGGUUCAGUGAGAGAAUCUUUCUCAAAGGAAUAAGGUAGAGUGUUAGAACAGGACACCAGAAUUCUUCCUCUGGCUUCCACACACAUGCACAUAUAUAUCACAUGUUCCCCAAAGCAAACUUGAGGAAUCAUUUUAGCAAACAACAUUGAAAAUAUCUGUAGUAUAUCCCCAGUGAUAAGAUUGCUGGAUUGUAGGGUUCAUCUUUUCCUGAAAGUUGAAUAGUAAUUUCCACAAUGACUGUGAUAAUUUACCCUCCCACUAAGAUUUUCCUCACCAGAAUGUAUUAUGUUUUGUCUUUCUUGAUAGUUGCUAGAGACAUUUGCAUUCCCAUCUUUAUUGCAAUGCAAUUCAUAAUAGGCAAGAUAUAUGUAUCUAACCCAUGU